Molecule: long non-coding RNA, 2849 nt
Organism: Culex pipiens pallens (northern house mosquito)
Lineage: Eukaryota; Metazoa; Arthropoda; Insecta; Diptera; Culicidae
Exons: 2
Source: RefSeq, a predicted model, not a curated record
CCCCCGGUCACGGAAAUUUCUAGCAGAGUUGGUUUUGCUAGAAUCCUGCUAGAAUGGUUCUAGCAGGCCUGCCAGAAUUCUGUAAGAAUUUUGCUAGAAUUUUCUGACAGAGCGAAAUUUGCGAAAGCUGUCGAAAAUGACGUAAAUUUCGCCAAACCGCAUUGUGACCGCCAUCUUGUCAUGAAAGUUGCAAACUUUCAAUGAUUUUAAAGAAAUUUUGCAUCAGAGCCGUUUAGUUAGUCACCUGGCCAUUCGGAGUUUGGUGCAUCUUCCGGAAGGCUUGUUCAAAUUUAUGAAAGUCAGCAACAAUAACAUGUGCUCACGGCGGAACCCCCCGCAGGAACUUGGAUUCCGGCAGCCGCCCAACGGACAUAAUCUUAACCGGCUCCUGGAACAGACGGAAGGCGCCGCUUCAACUAGUUCGUCCUGUUCAACCACAUGGAAAAGCUGGCUCAGUGUAUGCUGCUCCGAAAAAAUAUCCGGAAGAAGGAAAAACAACAAAGACGAUGUGAUGUGUAGUGAGUGAUUUUGUGUAUAAUAAAACAAAAGAAAUUUUGUCUUUUUUAUAAUGAAAAUAGUUAAAAAUAUAAUUCAUUUCAUUCUACAGAAAUUUUCAGCUUGAAUUUUCUAGCAAAAUUCUAGCAGGAUUCUAGCAAAAAUUCUCUCCGCUUCAUUCUAGCAAAAUUCUAACAGAAUUCUAGCAGGAGGCCUGUCAGAAUCGUUCUAGCAACAUUCUAGCAGGAUUCUUACAGAACCGGUUGAUUUCGCCGGCUCCUGCUACCCAGUCACGACGUUCUAGCAGGAUUCUAGCAGAGUUCUCACAGAGCUGGAUAUUCUUACAGCAUUCUAGCAAAAAUGUUCAACCGUUCUAGCAGGAUUCUGGCAGAACCAGCUCUGCUAGAAUAUUUCGUGACUGGGUAGAAUCGGUUAUUGCAUUUGAGCCAGAAUUCUCUAAGAAUUCUAGCAAAGAUCUAGCAGGAUGCUGGCACAGUGCUAGUAAGAAUAUUUUCGCUCUGUUAGAAUUCUGUAAGAAUCCUGCGAGAACGCCAUGACUGGGCUGGGGCAGUUGCUCCACCCAUCAUAAAAAAAUGUUCUGAGUUUGAUCAGGGGUGUCCAUGAACGGCAAUUUUAAAAUCAUCCAUAUUAUUGACCCACCUUCCUUCAGAUACUAGGCACGCUAGUAAUGCUGACUUUAGGCGAUAAAGGAUAGUUGCAAAACGACAGCUAUGAAAUUUCCCAGGUGCACUGGACCCAACCGUAAAAAUCGUUUAGUAAAUAGUUUUUCCCCAAACUUUCGUGCGCCUGGUUUACAAUGUAAAACGUAAAAAUCAAAAUUUGGUCUGAACAGGAAAAUUAAAAAUAUGGUUUGCAAAAUCUAUGCGUAAAAGUCAAACAAAUCCUGAUCUUUAUAGCACAUUUUGAUGUGACCAAAAGUGACCUGUUAAAUGCAUCAAGGAUAACCGGAUUUCAUCAAGUUUUACAAAAAUGCGAGCGAUUUCAAGAUAUUUAAUGUUUUUGAAAUUGAAGCUUCAAUACCCGUUUUACAAUAUUUCUCUUUACCGAAGUGGGCUCAUAUGUUGUAUGAGUUCAUCUCAUGUAUGGAAAAACCAGGGGGUAGCGAAAAAGCCGCCAUCUUGGAAGUUCAGAUAACAAACACUGAGAAACAGUAUUAUACAUAUUAAUUUGCUACCCCGAAGUGUGUUAUCCUGGUUAAACUCAAAAGUCCCAUGCAAAUGUGUAAAACCAAACCGAAAUAUGUUUAAUGCCGAUUCUCAUUGUACGGGCGCACUGUUUGAUCGACCAAAAGAAAAAAAGGAAAAAAUCACUUUUUUCGAUAUGAAUUAUCUGCCAAUAUUAGGAUGGAAUCUCCAAGGAUAUGAUGGAACUUGCCAUAAGCAACACAAUUCACGUGUUUUUUCAGGUAGGGGAAAUCUACCCUUUCCAAUCAAACACCUAUCUUCGUCAUAUGGAGAGUUUGAUGCUCGAUUAAAGCUCCAAAAAUACUAUUUGGGCUAUAAAUUUACCAGCAACAGCACCGCCUCGAGUAAGCACGCAAAUGUAUGCCUUUUACUGGCCAAAAAGAUCACAUUUAAUGCACUUUUGAUCAUAAUUUGUAUUUUGCGAGACCACUUCUCAUCAUUUUGUUGGCACACACAGUGACACACACGAGAAUCCCUCAAACGCUUAAUGAAUAUCGCCAAAAUUAACUUUUCACUUUCGCUUACUUUUUCACGGCGCUUAAGAUGUGAAAUUGCUUCCAACUACCGGCAACAUGUUCUUUUGAUCAUUAGUAAGGCACUCACUUGAAGAAUAAUCCCGAAAAAUGUAAUAAAUUAGCAAGCGCCAUCAAAAAAACAAACGCGCCAAGUCGUUUGACGUUUCAAUUUUCACUUUGCAUUCCACUCGAAGGCUGAAGAAAACCGAGCGAGAGACGAAGGCAAAAAAGAACAAAGGCUGGCCGUCAACACCACCAGCAGCACAGCCAGCGAUGCCAGGAAACUUUCCCUAUAAAUGCCACUUUUCGUGAGUGUUCGUUUGAACUGUCAGCGCAAAUGGCAACACUCGACAGAGUGUUGGAAGAAAAAAGAACUAAGCCGAUAUUAGAAAAAUGGGCGUGGCCCAAUGCAUUCGCCUCGAUUAGAAUACCCUUGGGAUUUUUUUUUUGUUAAAUGCUUGGUAAAGAAAUAGAAUAACUUUUAGUGAAAGUGAAAAUAAACAGAAAUGUUCACAAAAACUUGCUCUACUCGUUGGUGUACUUGGUUUUAGUAAAAUUCAAGGGAGACUCUAGAUUAUCCAGCAUCAUUCAUACACGACCGCUUAUUAGGAUUAAAAUGGGUAGAUUUCCCCUA